GACGAACUGUCCUAACGUUGUUCGGAAUCACUGGGCUUAAAGGGCGCGUAGGCGGUCCGACAAGUCAGGGGUGAAAUCCUGCAGCUUAACUGCAGAAGUGCCUCUGAUACUGCCGGUCUGGAGGGAGAUAGGGGUGUGCGGAACUUCCAGUGGAGCGGUGAAAUGCGUUGAUAUUGGAAGGAACGCCGGAGGCGAAAGCGGCGCACUGGACCACUACUGACGCUGAGGAACGAAAGCUAGGGGAGCAAACAGGAUUAGAAACCCGAGUAGU
This 271-nucleotide ribosomal RNA is filed under the name uncultured bacterium. RNAcentral's name for it is "partial 16S ribosomal RNA". It matches the Rfam family "Bacterial small subunit ribosomal RNA", at positions 524 to 794 of the family's 1533-position model. The record is from RNAcentral.